AACCUUAUGGACCUGCGGGCGUAUACCUGCGGAGGGAUCAUUAUUGAGUGUAAUCUACCCCGUAAAAAAGGGUGGUACCUCCCGUCCUUUGUAGGCCCCCUUUUUAAUUUGAAGGGGGCUUUAAGAAUUUUCUGCUUCGGCGGGGUUAUUCCCGCCGGAACACCCUCAAAAAACUCUCUAAAAAAUCGUUCAGUCCGAGAACUUUUUUGAAAAUAUAAAUAAAACUUUCAACAACGGAUC
RNAcentral lists this unclassified non-coding RNA (240 nucleotides) under soil metagenome. RNAcentral describes it as "partial contains 5.8S ribosomal RNA, internal transcribed spacer 2, and large subunit ribosomal RNA". The record is from RNAcentral.